This 295-nucleotide ribosomal RNA is filed under the name uncultured microorganism. Its description in RNAcentral is "partial 16S ribosomal RNA". It matches the Rfam family "Bacterial small subunit ribosomal RNA", at positions 505 to 796 of the family's 1533-position model. The record is from RNAcentral.
GUGCCAGCAGCCGCGGUAAUACGAAGGGUGCAAGCGUUACUCGGAAUUACUGGGCGUAAAGCGUGCGUAGGUGGUCGUUUAAGUCCGUUGCGAAAGCCCUGGGCUCAACCUGGGAACUGCAGUGGAUACUGGGCGACUAGAGUGUGGUAGAGGGUAGCGGAAUUCCUGGUGUAGCAGUGAAACGCGUAGAGAUCAGGAGGAACAUCCCUGGCGAAGGCAGCUACCUGGACCAAUACUGACACUGAGGCACGAAAAGCGUGGGGAGCAAACAGGGAUUAGAUUACGCUUGUAGUCC